GCAGAGUAUCCACCUUAGACUCCAACUCUGUGAUCUUAAGGACAGCAGCAUCAUAUUUUCUAGACAGCUGUAACAGAAAAAUAAUUGAGCUCUGCAGACGAUAAAUUGGACAUUUAUAUUGAUGCUGGUAUUUAUAACUCCUGGAUGGCAACAUGGGUCAUCAUACAGGUCCAGCGAGGCCAAAGUAUCAUCCUGAUCUUCCAUCUGUAACAGACAACACAGAAUACAAAGACCUGAAGGAGACUCCUGGCACCUAUCAUCAAAAUAUACAUGUACAUGAUGUAGUUUCAAAAUCACCUUGAAAAAAACUUAAUCAAAUUCCUGAAGAUGUUUGUCUACCAGUGUCCAUUCUCUCUCUCCUGAUCAAUUCAAGCUUUUUUUUCAAUGAAAUUUCCAGAAGAACUUAAUUCAUGUUUGAGAAAGAGCUGUAUACAUACUGCUCUUUCAGUUUGAAGUUUUGAUCAACAGGCUAAUUUCUCAAUUUACAGUCAGAAUUUCAAACACAUUAGCCAUGAUUAUUAUUCAGUUCGGUUACUUAGAUUUGGAGAAACCAUAAUUUCUGAAAAGCAGAGAUCGCUAUUAUACGUGUAACAGGAAGGAGUAGUGUGCUUCCAUCGGGUAUCCAAAGCUUCUCAGACUCAGCCCACCGCUCUACAGAUUGAGCUAAAAGGAAAUUCCCUCUAGCGCAGAGCUAGACCGUAGUCCUAUCUAAAAUUAGAAUCUGCCACAUAUUCAUUCAAAACAAAUAUAUUAAGUUAUUAAAAAUUAAACUUUAUUAUUGUACAUUGUCAUUAGUGCUCGGGUUCUGGAAUAUAUGUGAUAUAUUAUCGUACCCACUAGAUAUCGCACCGCCUUCUACUAAUAAAUCAUAUUAUUUUAUUUAUUAGUACUAGGGGGUGCGAUAAUAUAUCACAUAUAUUCCAGAACCCGAGCACGCUAUAUGUGCUUGUACACUGAAAGUGUGUAUUGAGCUUUGUCCUUCCGCCAAUCUAUGUAAACAUUUAUAACACUUCCAAAUUUGUACAAUUCAGUAACGAUC
Long non-coding RNA from Mizuhopecten yessoensis (Yesso scallop), 1039 nucleotides. RefSeq lists it as uncharacterized. The transcript has 3 exons. The record is from RefSeq and is a predicted model, not a curated record. NCBI's taxonomy places the organism in Eukaryota, Metazoa, Mollusca, Bivalvia, Pectinida, Pectinidae.